UAUCUCUGUAGAGUCUGCAUAUCAAUAAGCGGAGGAAAAGAAACUAACAAGGAUUCCCUUAGUAACGGCGAGUGAAGCGGGAAGAGCUCAAAUUUGAAAUCUUCAAGGUUCUACCUUGACGAAUUGUAGUUUAUAGAAGUGUUUUCUGUUAGUGAAGUUGGCUAAAAGUUCUUUGGAAUAGGACAUCAUAGAGGGUGAGAAUCCCGUAUUUGACCAUUAUUUUCAGCUGUGUGAUACACUUUCAAAGAGUCGGAUUGUUUGGGAAUGCAGUCCAAAAUGGGUGGUAAAUUUCAUCUAAAGCUAAAUACUGGCGAGAGACCGAUAGCGAACAAGUACCGUGAGGGAAAGAUGAAAAGAACUUUGAAAGAGAGUUAAACAGUACGUGAAAUUGUCAAAAGGGAAGCGUUUGACACCAGUGUUGUUUUCUCGAAAAUCAAUUAAAAAUGGCUGGAUUUUGUGUUGUAUUGACUCUUAUAAGCUUUCUGCACUCUUAUUCAUGUCUUUUUAAUGCACUUUUCGUUUAACAAGUCAACAUCAAUUUCUUUUGUUGUAAAAGAGUCAUUGGAAGGUGGCUUUUCUUUCGGAAAAAGUGUUUAUAGCCUUUGACUCCUGCAAUCGGAGAGACUGAGGUCUGCAGCGUAGAUCCUUCGGGAUUAGAUUCACAUUGUGCUAAGUUACUAGCCUUUCAUAGACAACUUGUUGACUAUGAUUCAGUCAUUGUAGCUUACUCGCUUAUGCUAUUUUACCUACGCUUAGGAUGUUGAGUAGCGACAUACGCAC
RNAcentral lists this ribosomal RNA (780 nucleotides) under uncultured Neocallimastigales. Its description in RNAcentral is "partial large subunit ribosomal RNA". It matches the Rfam family "Eukaryotic large subunit ribosomal RNA", at positions 24 to 649 of the family's 3401-position model. The record is from RNAcentral. Lineage: Eukaryota; Fungi; Neocallimastigomycota; Neocallimastigomycetes; Neocallimastigales.